UUAAGAGUUUGAUCCUGGCUCAGGACGAACGCUGGCGGCGCGCCUUAUACAUGCAAGUCGAACGAACGAGAUUGGUGCUUGCACCGAUUGAGUUAGUGGCGGACGGGUGAGUAACACGUGAGCAACCUGCCUUACAGAGGGGAAUAACGUCUGGAAACGGACGCUAAUACCGCAUAAUCUUUCUUCACGGCAUCGUGAAGAAAGCAAAGGAGAAAUCCGCUGUAAGAUGGGCUCGCGGCCGAUUAGGUAGUUGGUGAGGUAAUGGCUCACCAAGCCGACGAUCGGUAGCCGGACUGAGAGGUUGAACGGCCACAUUGGGACUGAGACACGGCCCAGACUCCUACGGGAGGCAGCAGUAGGGAAUAUUGCACAAUGGAGGAAACUCUGAUGCAGCGACGUCGCGUGAGGGAAGAAGGUUUUCGGAUUGUAAACCUCUGUCUUUGGUGAAGAAAAUGACGGUAACCAAAGAGGAAGCCACGGCUAACUACGUGCCAGCAGCCGCGGUAAUACGUAGGUGGCAAGCGUUGUCCGGAAUUACUGGGUGUAAAGGGAGCGUAGGCGGGGGAAUAAGUUGAAUGUUAAAACUAUCGGCUCAACCGAUAGCAGCGUUCAAAACUAUUUCUCUUGAGUGGAGUAGAGGUAAGCGGAAUUCCUAGUGUAGCGGUGAAAUGCGUAGAUAUUAGGAGGAACACCAGUGGCGAAGGCGGUUUACUGGGCUCUAACUGACGCUGAGGCUCGAAAGCGUGGGUAGCAAACAGGAUUAGAUACCCUGGUAGUCCACGCUGUAAACGAUGAUUACUAGGUGUGGGGAGGUCAAACUUUCCGUGCCGGAGUUAACACAAUAAGUAAUCCACCUGGGGAGUACGACCGCAAGGUUGAAACUCAAAGGAAUUGACGGGGGCCCGCACAAGCAGUGGAGUAUGUGGUUUAAUUCGAAGCAACGCGAAGAACCUUACCAGAUCUUGACAUCCUAAGAAGGCUAUAGAAAUAUGGCUGUGCCUACGGGAGCUUAGAGACAGGUGGUGCAUGGUUGUCGUCAGCUCGUGUCGUGAGAUGUUGGGUUAAGUCCCGCAACGAGCGCAACCCUUACCAUUAGUUGCUACGCAAGAGCACUCUAAUGGGACUGCCGUUGACAAAACGGAGGAAGGUGGGGAUGACGUCAAAUCAUCAUGCCCUUUAUGAUCUGGGCUACACACGUACUACAAUGGCUACUAACAAAGUGAAGCGAGACCGCGAGGUGGAGCGAAACACAAAAAGUAGUCUCAGUUCGGAUUGUAGGCUGAAACUCGCCUACAUGAAGUCGGAAUUGCUAGUAAUCGCGAAUCAGAAUGUCGCGGUGAAUACGUUCCCGGGCCUUGUACACACCGCCCGUCACACCACGAGAGUUGGUAACACCCGAAGUCGAUAGUCUAACCGUUUACGGGGGACGUCGCCGAAGGUGGGAUUGAUGAUUGGGGUGAAGUCGUAACAAGGUAGC
RNAcentral lists this ribosomal RNA (1477 nucleotides) under uncultured Oscillospiraceae bacterium. RNAcentral describes it as "bacterial SSU rRNA". It matches the Rfam family "Bacterial small subunit ribosomal RNA". The record is from RNAcentral. Lineage: Bacteria; Bacillati; Bacillota; Clostridia; Eubacteriales; Oscillospiraceae.